AAUUAUUUAUGGCUGCUAAUGAGUACUACUAAAAAUUCUUUGGGUUCAAAUCAGUUUCAGUUCUGAUUAGAUUUAAGAAUUUGGCAUAAAACUUUGAAUAUUUUUAAAGAAAUUUCUAUCAAAAUGGUUCUCCCAAAAAAGGCCUUUCCAACUUUUUAUGCGGCCAACGUCCAAUUAAUACAUAGUAGAGGAGAGUAGAGGAGUACAAAACGAAUCGAAUCGACCAGAUAUACAUCUUCUUGGAUAUAACAUACACUAGACGACGACGCACAAUCGAAAGAGUCAACUAUGUACGAGGCGGGUAAAUGGAGAGAUCUCUCAGGGUGAGAAGAUCAAAAUGUAAAAGUCAAAUAAAAGUAUAACGUUCAAGAAUUAACAUUUUUUCACAGCAAUAAAUACAUAAAAGUCAAAGAUGUGUGCACAAAAGAGGGAACAGAGGCGUAACCAGAGAGGGGGUAUGGAUAGUUUCAGCUUGAUUGGAUCGAACAUAUGUCAGCCACAUCCACUCC
This 509-nucleotide small RNA is filed under the name Drosophila pseudoobscura pseudoobscura. Its description in RNAcentral is "GA32905". Lineage: Eukaryota; Metazoa; Arthropoda; Insecta; Diptera; Drosophilidae. The record is from RNAcentral.